Molecule: ribosomal RNA, 468 nt
Filed under: uncultured bacterium
Lineage: Bacteria
Description: partial 16S ribosomal RNA
Rfam family: Bacterial small subunit ribosomal RNA
Source: RNAcentral
GACGAACGCUGGCGGCGUGCUUAACACAUGCCAGUCGAACGGAAAGGCCCUGCUUUUGUGGGGUGCUCGAGUGGCGAACGGGUGAGUAACACGUGAGUAACCUGCCCUUGACUUUGGGAUAACUUCCGGAAACUGGGGCUAAUACCGGAUAGGAGCUCCUGCUGCAUGGUGGGGGUUGGAAAGUUUCGGCGGUUGGGGAUGGACUCGCGGCUUAUCAGCUUGUUGGUGGGGUAGUGGCUUACCAAGGCUUUGACGGGUAGCCGGCCUGAGAGGGUGACCGGCCACAUUGGGACUGAGAUACGGCCCAGACUCCUACGGGAGGCAGCAGUGGGGAAUAUUGCACAAUGGGCGGAAGCCUGAUGCAGCAACGCCGCGUGCGGGAUGACGGCCUUCGGGUUGUAAACCGCUUUCGCCUGUGACGAAGCGUGAGUGACGGUAAUGGGUAAAGAAGCACCGGCUAACUACGUG